Non-coding RNA from Paramuricea clavata, 243 nucleotides. Lineage: Eukaryota; Metazoa; Cnidaria; Anthozoa; Malacalcyonacea; Plexauridae. The record is from the annotation of a GenBank genome assembly.
CUGAAAUUUAUUUAGCAAUUUCGAAACUCACCUCAAACCUGGAAGUUGAACAUGUAUUAUGAAAUCCACAACAGCCUUGGAAACACAGCAUAUAAUUGGUCAAUAGGUUGCUAGUGGUGGCAGUUCAGUCAAUCAGAGAUUUUAUUUCCAAAACACGCGAAAUUGCCCGCAAACUUGACAAUCAACUUGCUAACUUUGCAACGAAAUUCGAAAUUACGUUAACAAAGUUUUGUGAAAUUAACU